Molecule: long non-coding RNA, 357 nt
Organism: Oreochromis aureus
Lineage: Eukaryota; Metazoa; Chordata; Actinopteri; Cichliformes; Cichlidae
Source: Ensembl
AUUAAACCCGCGGUGAUACCUUGAUGGCUGCAUUUUUUUAUGGAUCCUGCCCAAAUGCCCAUGAUGGCAAACCUUUACCUCUGAACCUCCUGGUAUGAUACUGGUAUUAGUUCUUUUGUCAUGCUGGAAAAAUCUUCCUUCUACUUUUCUAGUUUUUCCAGGAAAAACAGACAGACAUGGAUGGAGUCAGAAUCUGUCCUGUGGCGUCGGAAAUUGUGUUAAGUAUUUUCCUGGCUUCACUGUAUCACACUGAAACAUGGUCACAAAACUCUUGGAGCUCAGCAGGAUGGAUGGACUCUCAAGCACUCAGAGCAAAGGCAUACAACAGUACCACGAGAUGUCAAACUGGGAUCUCAG